Molecule: long non-coding RNA, 208 nt
Filed under: Elaeis guineensis (African oil palm)
Lineage: Eukaryota; Viridiplantae; Streptophyta; Magnoliopsida; Arecales; Arecaceae
Description: long non-coding RNA (EGUI_LNC054397)
Source: RNAcentral
GGUGGAGAUGAAGUUCUUCAUGUUACAGAUUUAUUUUUCUUUUCCCCAUCUUAUGUAUUUAUUUUAUGCAAUGAUAAUAAAAAUUUUUCCCCCUAAAUUAUGUCUGUGUUGUGUUUUUUUGAAUAAAUUAAAUUUUUAACAAUUUAUUCUCAUAAGAAGAUGCUUCGUGAUCCUGACAAGAUACAGUUCAUACUUGAAUAGGAGAUAG